Molecule: non-coding RNA, 252 nt
Organism: Paramuricea clavata
Lineage: Eukaryota; Metazoa; Cnidaria; Anthozoa; Malacalcyonacea; Plexauridae
Source: the annotation of a GenBank genome assembly
UGUAGGUUUCAUUUUACAAACUGUCGUGCAGUCAGUGAGUCAGUCACGCACGAGAUAAAACCUAUAACUUGUCGUGGCGAUAGAAGUGUUUAUUUUGAUACGUUAACUUCAAUAUUGAAGCCGGACAAUAUUCAGGUGAAAUUUGUACAGUUUAUAAGGAAACAAAGCUGUGUGUUCGAAGGAACUAAGGUAAGCGAUAUUGCAUGUCCUUCCUGUUGUUGAGCAUUUCCAUACGAACAUGUUGUAUUCAAU